Molecule: long non-coding RNA, 217 nt
Organism: Fundulus heteroclitus (mummichog)
Lineage: Eukaryota; Metazoa; Chordata; Actinopteri; Cyprinodontiformes; Fundulidae
Exons: 4
Source: RefSeq, a predicted model, not a curated record
AGUGACUCUUAACAACUGUGAACACAAUUUGUAUUACAAAUAUGUCACUGAGAAUAAUAACAAGGGUGGAUUCAACAUUGACUUGUCCAUCACAAUCGAUAAGGACAUCCAGAAGGAAGACGGAUCUAAGGAUGCUCAACCUGCACAACAUGAACGUUCAGGUGAUGUGGAGAUGCAAGCGGAAGAAGAGAAGGAGCAAUAUGAACUGAUAGAGUAU